GCCAACAUGGCUCAGUGGUUGAGUGCCAACCUAUGAACUAGGAGGUCACGGUUCGAUUCCCUGUCAGGGCA
Molecule: non-coding RNA, 71 nt
Organism: Myotis lucifugus (little brown bat)
Lineage: Eukaryota; Metazoa; Chordata; Mammalia; Chiroptera; Vespertilionidae
Source: Rfam